UACGUAGGGUGCAAGCGUUAAUCGGAAUUACUGGGCGUAAAGCGUGCGCAGGCGGUGAUGUAAGACAGAUGUGAAAUCCCCGGGCUCAACCUGGGAAUUGCGAUGGAGACUGCAAGGCUUGAAUCUGGCAGAGGGGGGUAGAAUUCCACGUGUAGCAGUGAAAUGCGUAGAGAUGUGGAGGAACACCGAUGGCGAAGGCAGCCCCCUGGGUCAAGAUUGACGCUCAUGCACGAAAGCGUGGGGAGCAAACAGG
This 253-nucleotide ribosomal RNA is filed under the name uncultured bacterium. Its description in RNAcentral is "partial 16S ribosomal RNA". It matches the Rfam family "Bacterial small subunit ribosomal RNA", at positions 524 to 776 of the family's 1533-position model. The record is from RNAcentral.